GGGCCCGCACAAGCAGUGGAGCAUGUGGUUUAAUUCGAUGCAACGCGAAGAACCUUACCAGGGUUUGACAUCCUGCGAAUCUCUUGGAAACAGGAGAGUGCCUUCGGGAACGCAGUGACAGGUGGUGCAUGGCUGUCGUCAGCUCGUGUCGUGAGAUGUUGGGUUAAGUCCCGCAACGAGCGCAACCCACGUCUUUAGUUGCCAGCAUUUAGUUGGGCACUCUAGAGAGACUGCCGGUGAUAAACCGGAGGAAGGUGUGGAUGACGUCAAGUCAUCAUGCCCCUUACAUCCUGGGCUACACACGUACUACAAUGCUACGGACAAAGGGCUGCAAGUUCGCGAGGACAAGCAAA
Molecule: ribosomal RNA, 353 nt
Filed under: uncultured bacterium
Lineage: Bacteria
Description: bacterial SSU rRNA
Rfam family: Bacterial small subunit ribosomal RNA
Source: RNAcentral